GUUUGGUUGGCUCGACUGAUUCCACCUGAAAGCAUUGUCAGCCCAUGUGGUUCUCAUGUUCUUGAUACUACCAAGCUGAAAUCUGAAGAGUGGUGGAAACUGUGGCAGCCCAGUCUUUGAAGGGGAGGCCCCAGUAACUGACUCACCGAAGCUGCUGGUCAGAUGAAGACUAUUAUAAAGAUCUACAGCUGUUUAAAAUGCAGAAAAUAAGGAGCCAUAGAAUGCCCAACAUCCAGUGGAUGUCUACAGUGCAAAUAUCUCAAUGUUAGGAGCAUCAUGGAAGAAGGGAUGGAAAAGUUUCUUCAAAGAGUCCUGAAAUUAAAGGUGUGUACCACCACUCCCUGGCUCUAUGGCUUGCUAGUAUUGCUGCUGGGAUUAAAAUUGUGUAUCACUCCUGUCUGACUUCAAUGGCUUGUGGAUAGCUUUGCAUUCUGAACCCUCAGAUCACAGGAAAAUUCUGAAGACUGGAGUAAUUACAUGAACAAUGGUGAAUAUACAUUGCCAACAGGAUGUGCAUGUCAAGAUUCUGAACCCAAUGCAGGAAUAACAAUUUACAAGGCCAACCUUCUACAAGAACUAAUCAGCACAAUACAAAUCAAGACUGUUCCUCUCUGAAGACUACUAUAUUAUGUAGUAUGGUUAAGUAAGAAAUUUUUUUUGGUUUUUCGAGACAGGGUUUCUCUGUAGCUUUGGAGGCUGUCCUGGAACUCACUUUGUAGACCAGGCUGACCUCGAACUUACAGAGAUCCGCCUGCCUCUGCCUCCUGAGCGCUGGGAUUAAAGGCGUGCGCCACCAACACCCAGCUAAGUAAGAUUUCAAAGCACAUAGUUGUAUUUACUUUGAUCUGGAGAAGAAGGGAGACAAGAGGUACUAUGAGGGGAGUCUGGGAGUGAAACAUGAGGAAUGGAGGGAGGAGAGGUUGGGGUUGAACUGUGAGGGUUGGGGCGUGGAGGCUGUAGUCUGUAUGUAUUGAAUAAGAGAAGAAUAAAUAUGAAAAAAGGAAAAA
This is a long non-coding RNA of Mesocricetus auratus (golden hamster), 1007 nucleotides long. RefSeq lists it as uncharacterized. The transcript is spliced from 4 exons. The record is from RefSeq and is a predicted model, not a curated record. NCBI's taxonomy places the organism in Eukaryota, Metazoa, Chordata, Mammalia, Rodentia, Cricetidae.